Molecule: ribosomal RNA, 1678 nt
Filed under: Kribbella steppae
Lineage: Bacteria; Bacillati; Actinomycetota; Actinomycetes; Propionibacteriales; Kribbellaceae
Description: bacterial SSU rRNA
Rfam family: Bacterial small subunit ribosomal RNA
Source: RNAcentral
GCCCUUGGUCUUCGAUCUUGGGUGGUGGGUUGUUUGUUGUUUUGUGGCGGAUUCCUUUGAAAUUUUUUAUUGAUUCAAGUCAGUUUGAUUGUUUCUGAUUCAAAGGAUCACUCAAGUUGUUGACUGUCCAGCCUUUCGGGGUUGGUUGUCUAAUAUUUUCAACGGAGAGUUUGAUCCUGGCUCAGGACGAACGCUGGCGGCGUGCUUAACACAUGCAAGUCGAGCGGUAAGGCCCCUUCGGGGGUACACGAGCGGCGAACGGGUGAGUAACACGUGAGCAACCUACCCUCAACUUCGGGAUAAGCCUCGGAAACGGGGUCUAAUACCGGAUAUCACCGCAUUCUUCAUGGUUUGUGGUUGAAAGUUCUGGCGGUUGGGGAUGGGCUCGCGGCCUAUCAGCUUGUUGGUGGGGUAAUGGCCUACCAAGGCGUCGACGGGUAGCCGGCCUGAGAGGGCGACCGGCCACACUGGGACUGAGACACGGCCCAGACUCCUACGGGAGGCAGCAGUGGGGAAUAUUGCGCAAUGGACGAAAGUCUGACGCAGCAACGCCGCGUGAGGGAUGACGGCCUUCGGGUUGUAAACCUCUUUCAGCAGGGACGAAGCGAGAGUGACGGUACCUGCAGAAGAAGGACCGGCCAACUACGUGCCAGCAGCCGCGGUAAUACGUAGGGUCCGAGCGUUGUCCGGAAUUAUUGGGCGUAAAGGGCUCGUAGGCGGUUCGUCACGUCGGGAGUGAAAACUCGGAGCUUAACUCCGAGCCUGCUUCCGAUACGGGCAGACUAGAGGUAGGCAGGGGAGAGCGGAACUCCUGGUGUAGCGGUGGAAUGCGCAGAUAUCAGGAAGAACACCGGUGGCGAAGGCGGCUCUCUGGGCCUUACCUGACGCUGAGGAGCGAAAGCGUGGGUAGCGAACAGGAUUAGAUACCCUGGUAGUCCACGCCGUAAACGUUGGGCGCUAGGUGUGGGGGACAUUCCACGUCCUCCGUGCCGCAGCUAACGCAUUAAGCGCCCCGCCUGGGGAGUACGGCCGCAAGGCUAAAACUCAAAGGAAUUGACGGGGGCCCGCACAAGCGGCGGAGCAUGCGGAUUAAUUCGAUGCAACGCGAAGAACCUUACCUGGGUUUGACAUAUAGGGAAAUCCUCCAGAGAUGGGGGGUCCGUAAGGGUCCUAUACAGGUGGUGCAUGGCUGUCGUCAGCUCGUGUCGUGAGAUGUUGGGUUAAGUCCCGCAACGAGCGCAACCCUCGUCCUAUGUUGCCAGCACGUUAUGGUGGGGACUCAUAGGAGACUGCCGGGGUCAACUCGGAGGAAGGUGGGGAUGACGUCAAGUCAUCAUGCCCCUUAUGUCCAGGGCUUCACGCAUGCUACAAUGGCCGGUACAAAGGGCUGCGAAACCGCAAGGUGGAGCGAAUCCCAAAAAGCCGGUCUCAGUUCGGAUUGGGGUCUGCAACUCGACCCCAUGAAGUCGGAGUCGCUAGUAAUCGCAGAUCAGCAACGCUGCGGUGAAUACGUUCCCGGGCCUUGUACACACCGCCCGUCACGUCAUGAAAGUCGGCAACACCCGAAGCCGGUGGCCUAACCCUUGUGGAGGGAGCCGUCGAAGGUGGGGCUGGCGAUUAGGACGAAGUCGUAACAAGGUAGCCGUACCGGAAGGUGCGGCUGGAUCACCUCCUUUCU